Molecule: ribosomal RNA, 449 nt
Filed under: uncultured bacterium
Lineage: Bacteria
Description: partial 16S ribosomal RNA
Rfam family: Bacterial small subunit ribosomal RNA
Source: RNAcentral
AACGAACGCUGGCGGCAUGCCUAACACAUGCAAGUCGAACGAAGGCUUCGGCCUUAGUGGCGCACGGGUGCGUAACGCGUGGGAAUCUGCCCCUCGGUUCGGAAUAACAGUUAGAAAUGACUGCUAAUACCGGAUGAUGACUUCGGUCCAAAGAUUUAUCGCCGAGGGAUGAGCCCGCGUAAGAUUAGGUAGUUGGUGGGGUAAAGGCCUACCAAGCCGACGAUCUAUAGCUGGUCUGAGAGGAUGAUCAGCCACACUGGGACUGAGACACGGCCCAGACUCCUACGGGGGGCAGCAGUGGGGAAUAUUGGACAAUGGGCGAAAGCCUGAUCCAGCAAUGCCGCGUGAGUGAUGAAGGCCUUAGGGUUGUAAAGCUCUUUUACCAGGGAUGAUAAUGACAGUACCUGGAGAAUAAGCUCCGGCUAACUCCGUGCCAGCCGCCGUAACAC